CGGUUGCCAUAGAAACCCUAAUCUGUUUGCUAUAAAUUCCCCCAGUUUUUUUUUAUUACACAGAAUAUUCUUAUUUCUUAUAAUUGACUUUAACGUCUUUAUGAAAUAUAUAAUGUAAAACGCUGUUUUAAGACCACUAGUUUACAUAUAUAUACAUAUAUAUAUAUAUAUAUUUUUUUACAAGUCUCUGUUGAAUCUGUUGUUUUUAAUCGUGUAGCUAAGCAAAUAGUCGUUGCUAGCGCAGCUAGCUCGUUAGCAUGUCGAGAUUAAAUAAUUUUACCUCCUAAAAUAUAUGCGUUUUUUGUCCGGGGGAAAACAUGCGUGAAAUGUACAUUGGGUUUAAGGAAAAAAAUGUUAUCCGUGAUAUUUCGUGAUACACUGGCUCUCUGUUAGCCACACAGUCAGCUGCUCACUGUGUCCACGGACCGACUCAGACAUAAACAUACGUGAAUUCUAGUGAUAUUUCAUCUUCUCCUUUGAACGAGGUUUGCGAAUAAGUGCAAUAUGGACACGAAUGUUCAGAAGAGGCGAGAAAACAAGAAGUCUUUACGGGUUAAGGUCAUUAGUUUGGGAAAUGCAGAGGUGGGGAAGAGCUGUAUUAUUAAACGGUACUGUGAGAAGAGGUUUGUGCCCAAGUAUCUAGCCACUAUUGGGAUAGAUUAUGGUGUAACCAAGGUUCAGGUUCGAGACAGGGAGAUAAAAGUAAACAUUUUUGAUAUGGCUGGACAUCCUUUCUUUUAUGAGGUCCGCAAUGAGUUUUAUAAGGACUCUCAGGGGGUGAUUCUGGUCUAUGAUGUUGGACUGAGGGAGAGUUUUGACGCUCUGGACAGCUGGCUCACAGAGAUGAAGCAGGAAAUGGGCUCACAGGCCAACAUGGAGAACAUCAUCUUCGUCGUGUGUGCCAACAAGGUUGACCUGACGAAAAGACGAGUUGUGGAUGAGAGUGAGGGGAAACUUUGGGCCGAGAGCAGAGGAUUUCACUACUUUGAAACUUCUGCUCAGAGUGGUGAAGGCAUCAAUGAAAUGUUUCAGUCCUUUUUCUCAUCCAUAACUGACAUGUGUGAAAAUGGAGGGAAGAGACCCACUCCAGAGGUCAAUGUAGGUUUUACUAAAGAACAGGCCGACACCAUCAGACGCAUCCGUAACAGCAAAGACAGCUGGGAUAUGCUGGGGGUUAAACCUGGGGCCACAAGGGAGGAAGUUAACAAGGCAUACAGGAAGUUGGCUGUACUGUUGCACCCGGACAAGUGUGUGGCCCCAGGCAGUGAGGAUGCCUUUAAAGCAGUGGUUAAUGCUCGCACAUCGCUGCUCAAGAAUAUCAAGUAGGAGUGUAUGCCCACACACAAGUGCAUCUCACAUGGUUUCCAUUACAAACACAAUCUCCACAUCGUGUCUGAGAUAUGCCAUAAACAGAUUGUUUUCAUCUUCAUUGUGCCAUCUAAAUCUUCUUCUUCUUCUUUUUUUUUUAAAUGAACAUUCUUUGUGUUUGUUUUGAUUGGUUGUUGUGGUGUUUUGUUUGUUGAAUUUGUAUUAAUUAUAUAUUUAUUAAUUUUUUUGAUUAUUAAAUGUGCAUUAAAACAAUUGUCAGGGCAGUUUAAAUAUGCUAUCAGAAUGUCUGAAGUACAAAUAUCAUUGUGGCACCACAAAAGUGUUUUCACCCUCAAGAUUUCAUCAAAAACCAACAAAUGACUCCUUAAGGCCGAAACUUAACUAUGUUCCCUUGUUUUAAGUUGAUCAGCUUCACAUUGCCAUUAGUUGGAGUUGGAGAGUUACCUCGCAUUUGCAGAGUUCCCUUCUCAGUGAGGAUUACGCUUAAGACACACGGAGAAGCCUCUGGACUCCAACAAAGACUUAGUAACAGCAGAGUUUGACAUACAGCUACGACACUGUUUAUACUAUGACACACAUCUGUCCUGUUUAUAAUGUAAAAUACAUGUUGAUGUUAAAAGUUGUAGUAGGGAAACAACAAUAAUGCUGUAAGAUUUCAGCCCAAAUCAUGUGCAUGUCACAUUAGCUUGGAGCAUGAGGAUGAAAUUGGUGGAUCCUUCCUUUCCCAGUAUGUCCUGUGUCUGUUGUGCUUCUUUACUCCCAUAGAUGUACAGGGACGCUAUGACCUACAUGAUUCCCAGUUCUUCACCUUAGUUCACUCCAAAGAGGAGGAAAAGCAUGAGCAGAAAAUGUAACGUGUCCAAUACAUUUACAUCAGUGCAAUAUAAUUUAUUUAAAAUCUAUUUAUUUAUUUACAAAAAUGUACUGUACAUUUUUGUUACAAAUAAAUGAAUAAAAUGUA
Molecule: RNA transcript, 2290 nt
Organism: Carassius carassius (crucian carp)
Lineage: Eukaryota; Metazoa; Chordata; Actinopteri; Cypriniformes; Cyprinidae
Gene name: dnaJ homolog subfamily C member 27-like
Exons: 8
Source: RefSeq, a predicted model, not a curated record